CCGGCAUAACCCGAGGACCUUUUUUAUUUCCGACAUAAUCUGACGGCUUUCCCGGCAUAACCCGAUGACUUUUCCGGCAUAACCCGUGGUCUUCCCCAGCAUAACCCGAAGAUCUUUUUCUUUUCCGGCAUAACUCGAGGACCUUUCCGGCAUAACCCGAUCAUUUUUUCCAGCAUAACCUGGUAAUCUUUCCAACUUGGGGCCUCCGAUCCCCAUUUGAUUUCAUUUUAGAUAUAGGGUCUCCAUUCCCUAAUCUUUUUUUCUCUGGGAUACACAAUCCCGAUUUUAUUGCUUUCAAUAAAGAAAUAAUUUAGAUUUUGUUGCAAUAACUCACAAAAUUUUCCUAGUGAAAACUGGGGCAG
Molecule: long non-coding RNA, 362 nt
Filed under: Nicotiana tabacum (common tobacco)
Lineage: Eukaryota; Viridiplantae; Streptophyta; Magnoliopsida; Solanales; Solanaceae
Description: long non-coding RNA (NTAB_LNC009896)
Source: RNAcentral